UACGUAGGGUGCAAGCGUUGCCCGGAUUUAUUGGGCGUAAAGGGCGCGUAGGCGGCUCGGCACGUCCGUUGUGAAAUCGCCCGGCUCAACUGGGCGGGGUCAGCGGAUACGGUCGAGCUUGAGCAAGCUAGGGGGCAAUGGAAUUCCCGGUGUAGUGGUGGAAUGCGUAGAUAUCGGGAGGAACACCGGCGGCGAAGGCGGCGAUCUGGGUCGAGACUGACGCUGAGGCGCGAAAGCGUGGGGAGCAAACAGG
RNAcentral lists this ribosomal RNA (253 nucleotides) under uncultured bacterium. Its description in RNAcentral is "partial 16S ribosomal RNA". It matches the Rfam family "Bacterial small subunit ribosomal RNA", at positions 524 to 776 of the family's 1533-position model. The record is from RNAcentral.